This 270-nucleotide ribosomal RNA is filed under the name uncultured archaeon. RNAcentral's name for it is "partial 16S ribosomal RNA". It matches the Rfam family "Archaeal small subunit ribosomal RNA", at positions 477 to 747 of the family's 1478-position model. The record is from RNAcentral.
CAGCACCUCAAGUGGUCAGGAUGAUUAUUGGGCCUAAAGCAUCCGUAGCCGGCGCUGUAAGUUUUCGGUUAAAUCUGUAUGCUCAACAUACAGGCUGCCGGGAAUACUGCAGAGCUAGGGAGUGGGAGAGGUAGACGGUACUCGGUAGGAAGGGGUAAAAUCCUUUGAUCUAUUGAUGACCACCUGUGGCGAAGGCGGUCUACCAGAACACGUCCGACGGUGAGGGAUGAAAGCUGGGGGAGCAAACCGGAUUAGAUACCCGAGAAGUCC